This 253-nucleotide ribosomal RNA is filed under the name uncultured bacterium. RNAcentral describes it as "partial 16S ribosomal RNA". It matches the Rfam family "Bacterial small subunit ribosomal RNA", at positions 524 to 776 of the family's 1533-position model. The record is from RNAcentral.
UACAGAGGGUGCGAGCGUUAAUCGGAAUUACUGGGCGUAAAGCGCGCAUAGGCGGCUUUGCAAGUCGGGUGUGAAAUCCCCAGGCUUAACCUGGGAACUGCAUUCGAGACUGCAUUGCUAGAGUAUGGGAGAGGGAAGUGGAAUUUCCGGUGUAGCGGUGAAAUGCGUAGAUAUCGGAAGGAACAUCAGUGGCGAAAGCGACUUCCUGGACCAAUACUGACGCUCAUGUGCGAAAGCGUGGGGAGCAAACAGG